UGGGGAAUUGUUCGCAAUGGGCGCAAGCCUGACGACGCAACGCCGCGUGGAGGAUGAAGGUCUUCGGAUUGUAAACUCCUGUUGAUCGGGACGAAAAGCUUCAACCUAAUACGUUGAAGACUGACGGUACCGGUUGAGGAAGCCACGGCUAACUCUGUGCCAGCAGCCGCGGUAAUACAGAGGUGGCAAGCGUUGUUCGGAAUUACUGGGCGUAAAGGGCGCGUAGGCGGCCUCCUAAGUCGGACGUGAAAGCCCCAGGCUUAACCUGGGAACUGCGUCUGAUACUGGGAGGCUUGGAUUCGGGAGAGGGAUGUGGAAUUCCAGGUGUAGCGGUGAAAUGCGUAGAUAUCUGGAGGAACACCGGUGGCGAAGGCGGCAUCCUGGACCGAGAUCGACGCUGAGGCGCGAAAGCUAGGGGAGCAAACGGGAUUAGAUACCCCCGUAGUCCCUGAGCGGGCUGGCAAGGCGCAU
This 471-nucleotide ribosomal RNA is filed under the name uncultured bacterium. RNAcentral describes it as "bacterial SSU rRNA". It matches the Rfam family "Bacterial small subunit ribosomal RNA", at positions 355 to 825 of the family's 1533-position model. The record is from RNAcentral.